Long non-coding RNA from Nematostella vectensis (starlet sea anemone), 1215 nucleotides. RefSeq lists it as uncharacterized. The transcript has 2 exons. NCBI's taxonomy places the organism in Eukaryota, Metazoa, Cnidaria, Anthozoa, Actiniaria, Edwardsiidae. The record is from RefSeq and is a predicted model, not a curated record.
UAAACCAAACCGCAACCUAGUUAAUAAAUACCCGGAUGUACAAUAACCGGAACCGGAAACAGCGAUAUCUAUUUUCAUCUAAUACUCGUAUAACCACGAGCGCAAUCCCCUCAUAACCCCCCACUUCGCUGCAUACGGAAUACCUCCAAGACACGCAAUCUAAGCUCCGCCAAUACACAUCUCGGACCAAGCCAUGCACUCAGCCGGAGCCAGGCGCUACACAGGUUUGGCCAUUGCAUGCACCACGCUACACUAGAGGCAUUACUAACGAGCGUGUAGGGGCGGGUGAUGAGGGCCUUAUCAUUCGAAACACGUUUCAUAUACGAAUCAUCUCCCUAGUUUUUUCCCCUUUUACUCCCACCAUCAUCGCCGGUUUUCCCCUAGCUUUCCCCUAAGUCCCCCCGCUUUCAUCUCUAGGUUCGUAUAUGACCAACCAAUAGACCUCGCCCCCUGAAGAGAAGUCUUGGUUGGCGUUAUAUGCCUUUAGUUCUACAUUUCGCAGAGCUCUUUGAAAUGACCUACACACUUUUGUCUUAUUGGUUUAUUUUGUUAUGCCCAUUUUACAUAUACAUGCCGGUUGUUUUCUCCGUGCCUUUGCCUUUUCCCCUUAUCUCUUACCACCGAUUAUCGCUUCAUCUGGGGAAAACUAUCCUUCCUGUCUUGUUAACGUUUCAGCGUCAUCUCCACUCUCACCACGCUCCCUUUGUCGCCUCCCGCGCCCCUACUUCAUCUUCUUCUCGCCGUUCUACUAGCAUCAAUUUCCAUUGUCCGCAAUACACCCUUUCACCGCUACAGAAUUUUUUAUCUUUUCUCGGCGUUUCCGCAACACUCAUUCGGUCUCUGUUGUUGUUUAAUUUCGCCUGUCAGUCAUACCAUUUACACACUUCAUUAGAUACAUACCUCCACGCAUACCUAACCCCCCCCCCUAUUACCGCUCACCAUUUCCUCCCUACAAUCCAAACACUUUUCUUUCUCUUAUCCUACACAUUACUUUCCCACCCUACACACAACACACUUUCCCAUAAACACUACACAGUCUUUUCACAAUAUCCCUGCUUAUCAUUCUGUUCACACUCACAUUAUCCCCCUUUAUCAGAUUUUAUUAAUGCCGCCGACCUCUUCACAUCCGCUACACAACACUAGCAACAAGCUUCCGAUUUUAACUGUUUUAAUCCCCAAAUAAUACCAUAUUUACUAACCACCUUCUCUACUAAA